Molecule: ribosomal RNA, 465 nt
Filed under: uncultured bacterium
Lineage: Bacteria
Description: partial 16S ribosomal RNA
Rfam family: Bacterial small subunit ribosomal RNA
Source: RNAcentral
CCUACGGGCGGCAGCAGUGGGGAAUUUUGCGCAAUGCUCGUAAGAGUGACGCAGCGACGCCGCGUGAAUGACGAAGGCCUUCGGGUCGUAAAGUUCUUUCGACAGGGAAGAAAAUGCCUAUAAGUAACUGUGUAUGUAUUGACGGUACCUGUAUAAGCAGCCCCGGCUAACGCCGUGCCAGCAGCCGCGGUAAUACGGAGGGGGCGAGCGUUGUUCGGAGUGACUGGGCGAAAAGAGCACGUAGGCGGUGUUGUAAGUCAUUAGUCAAAGACUAGAGCUCAACUUUAGUAAGGCUAGUGAUACUAUAAUACGAGAGUAUCAGAGAGGAUUGCAGAAUUCCUGGUGUAGCGGUGAAAUGCGUAGAUAUCAGGAGGAAUACCGUUAGCGAAGGCGGCAAUCUGGCUGGAAACUGACGCUGAGGUGUGAAAGCGUGGGUAGCAAACAGGAUUAGAUACCCGGGUAGUC